Molecule: ribosomal RNA, 253 nt
Filed under: uncultured bacterium
Lineage: Bacteria
Description: partial 16S ribosomal RNA
Rfam family: Bacterial small subunit ribosomal RNA
Source: RNAcentral
GACAGAGGGUGCGAACGUUGUUCGGAAUUACUGGGCGUAAAGGGCGCGUAGGCGGCUUAACAAGUCACUUGUGAAAUCUCCGGGCUUAACUCGGAACGGCCAAGUGAAACUGUCAAGCUAGAGUGCAGAAGGGGCAAUCGGAAUUCUUGGUGUAGCGGUGAAAUGCGUAGAUAUCAAGAGGAACACCUGAGGUGAAGACGGGUUGCUGGGCUGACACUGACGCUGAGGCGCGAAAGCCAGGGGAGCAAACGGG